GGCUGCCCGAGUUGACCUCCGCGCGCGGGCCGCGCAUGCUCCAUGCGGGCGGAGGGCCUGGCGGGCCGGGGCGCGCGGUCACUGCCGACCCCGGGCAUCGGGUCUCUGCCCUGCGAAGGUGGGAAGAUACCAGUUUGGGUUCAUAAAAAUUUUCACCUGGAAGUAUCUACUGUCUGAAGGCCUGUUCUUCGAGUUUUCUCCUGAAACACAGAUGCCUCCUUCUUUACUGUCUGAGCCACCAGUCACGUAUGGAUGUGAAAGCUGAGCGCUGAAGAACUGAUGCUUUUGAACUGUGGUGUUGGAGAAGACUCUUGAGAGUCCCUUGAACUGCAAGGAGAUCCAACCAGUCAAUGCUAAAGGAAAUCAAUCCUGAAUAUUCAUUGGAAGGACUGAUGGUGAAGCUGAAACUCCAAUACUUUGGCCAUCUGAUGUGAAGGGCCAACUCAUUGGAAAAGACCCUGAUGCUGGGCAAGAUUGAAGGCAGAAGGGACGACAGAGGAUGAGUUGGUUGGGUGAAGCACUGACUGGAUGGACAUGAUUAUGAGCAACCUCUGGGAGUUGGUGAUGGACAGAGAAGCCUGGCAUGCUGCAGUCCAUUGGGUCACAGAGUCGGACACAACUGAGCUACUGAGCGACUGAACUGAACUCUUGUUCCCACCUUCUUUCUACCUCUAAAAGUCCUCUGUCUGUGCAGCUCUUCAGACCUCCUUUCUAUUUGCCAUAUGGGAUGCUGCCCAAUUUAUGAAUGGUUGCAUAAAGCCAUUA
Long non-coding RNA from Budorcas taxicolor (takin), 765 nucleotides. RefSeq lists it as uncharacterized. NCBI's taxonomy places the organism in Eukaryota, Metazoa, Chordata, Mammalia, Artiodactyla, Bovidae. The transcript has 3 exons. The record is from RefSeq and is a predicted model, not a curated record.